GCUUACGGCCACACCGGCCUGAGUACGCCUGAUUCUCGUCCGAUCUCGGAAGCUAAGCAGGGUCGGGUCCUGGUUAGUACUUGGAUGGGAGACCCGCCUGGGAAUACCAGGUGCUGUAAGCU
RNAcentral lists this ribosomal RNA (122 nucleotides) under Oncorhynchus mykiss (rainbow trout). Lineage: Eukaryota; Metazoa; Chordata; Actinopteri; Salmoniformes; Salmonidae. The record is from RNAcentral.